RNAcentral lists this ribosomal RNA (465 nucleotides) under Vreelandella stevensii. Its description in RNAcentral is "partial 16S ribosomal RNA". It matches the Rfam family "Bacterial small subunit ribosomal RNA", at positions 338 to 795 of the family's 1533-position model. Lineage: Bacteria; Pseudomonadati; Pseudomonadota; Gammaproteobacteria; Oceanospirillales; Halomonadaceae. The record is from RNAcentral.
CCUACGUGAGGCAGCAGUGGGGAAUAUUGGACAAUGGGGGCAACCCUGAUCCAGCCAUGCCGCGUGUGUGAAGAAGGCCCUCGGGUUGUAAAGCACUUUCAGUGAGGAAGAACGCCUGGUGGUUAAUACCCAUCAGGAAAGACAUCACUCACAGAAGAAGCACCGGCUAACUCCGUGCCAGCAGCCGCGGUAAUACGGAGGGUGCGAGCGUUAAUCGGAAUUACUGGGCGUAAAGCGCGCGUAGGUGGCUUGAUAAGCCGGUUGUGAAAGCCCCGGGCUCAACCUGGGAACGGCAUCCGGAACUGUCAAGCUAGAGUGCAGGAGAGGAAGGUAGAAUUCCCGGUGUAGCGGUGAAAUGCGUAGAGAUCGGGAGGAAUACCAGUGGCGAAGGCGGCCUUCUGGACUGACACUGACACUGAGGUGCGAAAGCGUGGGUAGCAAACAGGAUUAGAUACCCCAGUAGUC